UACGUAGGGGGCAAGCGUUGUCCGGAUUUAUUGGGCGUAAAGAGCGUGUAGGCGGCCAGGUAGGUCUGCUGUGAAAACUCGAGGCUUAACCUCGAGCUGUCGGCGGAAACCAUCUGGCUAGAGUCCGGAAGAGGAGAAUGGAAUUCCCGGUGUAGCGGCGAAAUGCGCAGAUAUCGGGAAGAACACCCGUGGCGAAGGCGGUUCUCUGGGACGGUACUGACGCUGAGACGCGAAAGCGUGGGGAGCGAACAGG
Molecule: ribosomal RNA, 253 nt
Filed under: uncultured bacterium
Lineage: Bacteria
Description: partial 16S ribosomal RNA
Rfam family: Bacterial small subunit ribosomal RNA
Source: RNAcentral